Molecule: long non-coding RNA, 1141 nt
Organism: Nerophis ophidion (straightnose pipefish)
Lineage: Eukaryota; Metazoa; Chordata; Actinopteri; Syngnathiformes; Syngnathidae
Exons: 2
Source: RefSeq, a predicted model, not a curated record
UGUCUGCCAAAGUCUGCAAAUGCAGGUGUAAAAUCAGGUCCCCUGGAAAUCACCCUGGGAUCCACCACUCGAGAAGGCAGCUUGUUUUGGUUCACCUGUGCGACAUGAGAGAAUACAUCCUUAACAGCAGUGCCACUCAGCUCACAGUCAGAAAAAGGACAAACAUUUGGUAAAUGACAGCUAUGCGAUAUUUCUGGUUGUCUUCCUUGCUUGCUGUCUUUUCACAGUACAGACUGUAUGUUAUGUGAGUCCGGCUCAGCGGGCCGUCCAGCGAAACAAGUCAGAACCACAUGUGGAAGACAAGAAAGGAAUGUGGAGUGCGAUGCGAGCCUCCAGGCGUAGAGAAGGUCAGGUCCUGCUGUUUACAAAUCAAUACGCAUGCUUGGAGAUUUGAGCAGCACUGCUAUCCUGCACUAAAAUGUGGCAACCAAGACAAAACUCAGCACCAUGUCAGGAAGCCAGGCGGGAGCCAGGUCUAGUUGUAGGUCCAGAGUGGCGGUCAGCAACCUGCGGCGCUUUAGCGCCGCCCUAGUGGCUCCCUGGACCUCUUUCAGAGUUGUGUGAAAAUGGAAAAAGAUGAAGAAAAAAAAAAGUGUUUUUGUUUUAUUAUAUUUUCUAUAGAACAAACAUGACACAAACCUUCCUAAUUGUAAGAAAUCCCACUGUUUAUGUUAUACAUGUUUCACUGAUGAGAGGGUUUGGCAAGCACUGUUUUGUCCUACUAAUUUCAGCGAUCCUUGAACUCAUCGUAGUUUGUUUACAUGUACAACUUUUUCCGAUGCUACCACAGAAAGACAAGUUUAAUGCUACUCCAUUGUCUCAUUCUGUCAACCAAAUGUUUUAUGGUGAUCUUUGUUGAUUUCAUUGAUUUGCUGGAGAGCCAAUCAGGCAUAUUUGGUCAAUCCAUGAGGCUUGUUGUAUGUACAUAUUGCAUCAUUAUGCCUGGUUUGUAGCUACAUUUGAGCUCAUUUAAUUUCCUUUACUUAUGUCCUCUGUGUAUUUAACUUAUAUUUGCAUGUCACAUUAUCUGUAUGUAAUAUUAGCUGCAUUUCUGGUAGUUGUUUGUGUGCCAUGUUAUUCCACACCACCGCGAAUGUUAACCAGCUCGCAAAGAUUGUAAUAAAUCCAAUAGAAAAAGACA